UUCUCUCCCAAAGUGGAAGGCAAAUUCUUCACAUAAUUGAUGAAUUUGGCUUCCACUUUGGGAAGAGAGCCACCUUUAUCUAUACUUGCUUGCAUUUUUGC
Molecule: long non-coding RNA, 101 nt
Organism: Octodon degus (degu)
Lineage: Eukaryota; Metazoa; Chordata; Mammalia; Rodentia; Octodontidae
Exons: 4
Source: RefSeq, a predicted model, not a curated record